GACGAACGCUGGCGGCGUGCUUAACACAUGCAAGUCGAACGGUGAAGCUCCAGCUUGCUGGAGUGGAUCAGUGGCGAACGGGUGAGUAACACGUGAGCAACCUGCCCCUGACUCUGGAAUAAGCGCUGGAAACGGCGUCUAAUACUGGAUACGAGAAGGGUCCGCAUGGGCACUUUCUGGAAAGUUUUUCGGUUGGGGAUGGGCUCGCGGCCUAUCAGCUUGUUGGUGAGGUAAUGGCUCACCAAGGCGACGACGGGUAGCCGGCCUGAGAGGGCGACCGGCCACACUGGGACUGAGACACGGCCCAGACUCCUACGGGAGGCAGCAGUGGGGAAUAGUGCACAAUGGGCGAAAGCCUGAUGCAGCGACGCCGGGUGAGGGAUGACGGCCUUCGGGUUGGAAACCUCUUUCAGCAGGGAAGAAGCGAAAGUGACGGUACCUGCAGAAGAAGCACCGGCCAACUACGUG
RNAcentral lists this ribosomal RNA (468 nucleotides) under uncultured bacterium. RNAcentral's name for it is "partial 16S ribosomal RNA". It matches the Rfam family "Bacterial small subunit ribosomal RNA", at positions 28 to 507 of the family's 1533-position model. The record is from RNAcentral.